UAAAAUAGUCUUGUUGGAGUUGUGUGAGGUUGAAUAACUAUAGUUGUGAUAUUUGAUUCAAUAAAAAGUUGGCAGAAUAAAAGAAAAAAAAAUUGAAAAAGAAAAAAAUUGAAAAAAAAAUUGAAAAAGAAAAUAAGGAUGUCAUUACAUAUUCCUUAUGAUCUGAAGAAGAAGAAAAAAGAAUAAAAAGAUAAAAGAGAAGAAAAAUAGUUGAGAAGUUAUUGUUUUAAAGUUAACGAAAUAUUUUUACUUCAAC
RNAcentral lists this long non-coding RNA (256 nucleotides) under Lathyrus oleraceus (garden pea). Its description in RNAcentral is "Pisum sativum (pea) long non-coding RNA (PSAT_LNC019442)". Lineage: Eukaryota; Viridiplantae; Streptophyta; Magnoliopsida; Fabales; Fabaceae. The record is from RNAcentral.